Bos grunniens (domestic yak) is the source of this 3992-nucleotide long non-coding RNA. Lineage: Eukaryota; Metazoa; Chordata; Mammalia; Artiodactyla; Bovidae. The record is from Ensembl.
GGCGGCCCUGGAUCCCUGCAGAGGAAUGAAUGAUGGGAGAAAGCAAACCAGCUCUGCCCAGCCGGGUCCCGGUCCAGCCCCACCGUGGGGGUACACUUCCUGGCCUGUUCUACCCUGGUGUCUUCACCGGAAGGGCCCUCUUUUGUGCCAUGUGUCCACGUGUGGGGUUUGUACCCUAACCCUGAUGUGUACCGAGGGGUGGGGUGGGGGUGGGGGACAGGUGGUGCCGCUGGCUGUGGGCUCCCGCAGUCCCACAUCACACAGGGAACUGGAUUGGGCUCUUGAGGGGGAGGCGGGGUGGGCGACGUGCACCCAGAGUAUUAACUUCCCGAGAGGUCAGUGUGCCAAUAUCCCAGGGCAGGCCUGGCCCCGCAGUGCCAAACCUCCCCAUCCGGCCCACUGGCACCCCACCAACUUGGCCCCACCUCCGCGCCGGGAGAAUGGGGUGGCAGGUUUCAGGCCCUCCUCGCCCCCAGUAUGAACUUCACCUCUGCGGCGCAUCCUUGAGUGCCAGCCCCCACCCCCAUGUCACAUCACCCAGCAGAACUGCCCUCCGAGUGCCAACGCCCCAGUGGCGUGAGGAGCCCUGCAGCCGGCGGGGGCAACUUCACCUGCUUGUAUAUUAAACAAUCCUGAUUUCAGACAAUUUAAAUCUUAAUCUAUUUAAAAAAGAAUAUUAUAUAAAGAUGCUGUUUUUAAACCUUUUGUCAUUUGAGAUGCAUGUAUCUUCCGUGCGGGCUGAGGGGCGGGUGGUCAGCUCAGUGCCGGCCUCUGGGGGCUGCUGGAGCCGCCCAUGUUCAGGCAGUGCGUCCGCAUUGGGGCCCACACCCCUUAAUCCAGAGAAAGCUGGUGGAAAUUGACUUUUCAUACCUUUCUCCUGAAAUGAAUUCUGUUUUAAAUUGGAAUAAAUUUUGUUCCUAAACACGUGGCCCCCCUCUGGCUUAUUUUCUGUUGCUGGCUGGGGGCGGGGUGCGGGGAGGUACAGCAGAGGAACCCUGAGGCCCCCGGAGUGUCACUGGAUUCCCGUGCGGCUGGGAGGGGUCUUGUCACCUUCAGGUUGGGGUCUCAGCUCGGGAACCACAGCCCGGCUGCCUGGGGUGUGCCUCCUUCCCUGGGCCCAGCUGGCCAUUCACUGUCACGGAUGCUCUUGGAAGUAUGUGCCCCUCCCCUAACCCAGUUGAGUAAACCAAGAUGUUGGGCCAGUAAUCUUCCCAUCUCUCAGUCUUUUUUGCUUUAAAAAAUUUUAAAAUACAUAUAUUGUGGUAAAUACACAUAUAACUUACCAUCUUUACAAUUUUUAAAAUCAGAUUUUAUUUGUGUUCCAAUGGGUCAUUAGCAAUAGGUCAUGUUAUGAGAUCAGGUCGUGCAUGCAUGCCUAGUGUGCUUGACUCUGCAAGCCUAUGGACUAUAGCCCACCAGGCUCCUCUGUCCAUGGGAUUUUCCAGGCAAGAAUACAGGAGUGGGUUGCCAUUUCCUCCUUUAGGGGAUCUUCCCGACCCAAGGAUUGAACCUGCAUCUCCUGUAUUGGCAGGCAGAUUCUUUACUACCAAGCUACCUGGGAAGCCUCUCUUCACCAUUUUUAAAUGUGCAAUUCAGUGACAUUAAUUUCAUUCAUAAUGUUGUGCAACUAGCAGCACUAACGGUCUCCAAAACCUUUUUAUCACUUCAAACAGAAACUCCUUUCUUGUUAAGCAAUAACUCCCCACCUCUUCCCCAGCCCCCGCCACCGUAUUUUCUAUGGAGUCUAUAGGGAUCUCCUGUGAGUGGAAUUGGAGUUUGUCCUUCUGUGUGUAGCUUCUCUCACUGCACAUCAUGUCCUCCAGGUUCAUCCAUGGUGUAGCAGGUGUCAGAACCUCCUUCCUCUUUAAGGCUGAGUCAUUCCAAUGGUGGGCCACACCGUGUUUAUCCAUCAUCUGUCUGUUGGUGGACACUAGGCAUAUUCCGCCUCUGACUGCCAUGAAUCAUGCCUCUGUGAACACCAGUGUGCAGGUGCCUCUUUGAGACGGCUUUCCAUCUUACUGGGUGUAAAGAGAAGUGGAACUGCUGGGUCACACCGUGAUGCUAGUCAACCAUUUGAGGAACCACCAGACUGUUUCCACAGCAGCUACCUUAUUUUCAUGUUCCCACCAGCCGUUCACCCGAUUCCCACUUCUCCACAUCGUCCUCCAGUUUUAUUUACUCACUCAUCAGCGGAAUGGAAAUGCCUAGAAGACCUGUGUGUGCCAGGCACUGUCCUGGGCACUGUGUAUACAGGGAGGAGAAGAGUGUUUAUCACCACGACUCACUCUGUGAACUGACAGCCAGGAAAAGAGGCAUGGGGAGCAACAGGGGCCACUUCAGACAGGCUGUUCAGGAAAGGCCUUUCUGAGAAGGUGGCAUAUGAAUAAUAUGCUGGGAGAUGUGAAGGGAUCUGUGUUUGUGCUUAGUUGCUCAGUGUGUCCAACUCUGCGAGUCCAUGGACUGUAACCCGCUAGUCUUCUCUGUCCAUGGGAAUUCUCCAGGCAAGAAUACUGGAGUGGGAUGCAUGUCCUUCUUCAGGGGAACUUCCUGACUCAGGAAUCAAACCGGGGUCUCCUGCAUUGCAGGCGGAUUCUUUACCAGCCGAGCUACCUGGGAAGUCCCAGUGAAGGACUUUCCAGGCAAAAGGCACAGCCCAGUGCAAAGGCCCUGGGGCAGGACUGUGCCUGACUGCUGGAAGAACAGCGAGGAGGCCUGCUUGCAGCAGAGUAAGGAGGGAAACAGAAGGAGGAAGGGAAGGCAGGGAGGGCACAGGCAGCUCGUGCAGGGGCUCGUGGGCCAAGGGAGGAACUGGGCUCUUACCCCGAGGGAGGUGGGACCCUGGAGGGCUGCGGGCAGAGGAGGGGAGGGGCCUGAUUUAGUGCUCAGGCGCGCCCUCUGGUGGCUAUUGCUCGGAGGAGAGACUGAGGGGAUGAGGGCGGAACCCGGCACUUGGAUGGAGGGGACCUGUCUAGACCAGGCAGGACAUGAUGGAGGCAGAGGAAAGGAGUGGGAUUUGGGACGUGGGGGCCGAGAGGGGGCCCGCAGACGCUGCCGGCGCACCUGGCUGUCAUGCCUUCCUCCGCCGGCAGGUGCCGCUCGCCGGCUUUCCGCGCCUGCCAGUCCGCCACCUGCGGGCUCCAACGCGCACCUGCGGGGAAUGUCCUCUCCACAUCCCCGUUCCAACAGGGAAACUGAGCAGCUGGGCCCUUGCCCUGACGGCAGGCGGUGCCCCCGGGCCCGGGCACUAGCAAAGUGAAAACGCAGGGUCCUUACAAAACCAGGAGGCUUUCAAGACGGAAAACCUUUGGACCACCCACCUACGCAGGUGGCCAGGGAGGGGUUCCGGGUGCUUUCUUCUUUUGGCUGUGGUGAAUCCUGCUGCGGUGGACUUGGGUAAGAAGGACCUGGUGCAGACCCUGCUCUGGAUACAUCGCAGAAGUGGAAUCAAAUCUGUGAUUCAUCAGCUAAUAAAGGAGAGGGCGGGCUUUGUAGCCCAGGCUUGGGAUAACCCUGGUUGGGGGUGUGUGUGGCCAACGCAAUGGCCAGGGAGGGACCCUGCUGUGGUCUCUCAUCAUCUGAGGAGCGCCAGGUACUUUGAAGCUAUGUGAACAUCCUCAUUAAACAAAAAGGACUUAUUUUUAAGAUGUUUUUAAUAAAGAAUCUUCAUAGGAUUUGUUACAAUACUGCUUCUGUUUUUUGUUUUUUGGCCAGGAGGCACAUAGGAUCUUAGCUCCCCGGCCAAGGAUCAAACCUGCACCCCCUCCACUGGAACGCAAAAUCUUGACUACUGGACUUCUAGAGGACAUUUUUAAUAUUAAACGAACAGCACUUGAAGGGAGUGGUUUGUUUCUAAAGAAAGGAGAGACUAUGCAUUUAUAGCAUUCAGUUCAGUUCAGUUCAGUUGCUCAAUCGUGUCCGACUCUUUGCGACCCCAUGAAUUGCAGCACGCCAGGCCUCCCUGUCCAUCACCAACUCGUAGAGUUCACUCAAAC